GAUGAACGCUGGCGGCGUGCCUAACACAUGCAAGUCGAACGAAUUACUUUAAAGGAAGUUUUCGGAUGGAAUUUAAAGUAGUUAGUGGCGGACGGGUGAGUAACGCGUGGGAAACCUGCCCUAUACAGGGGGAUAGCCUCGGGAAACUGGGAUUAAUACCCCAUAAAACUCUAGUAUCGCAUGAUACAUGAGCCAAAGAUUUAUCGGUAUAGGAUGGUCCCGCGUCUGAUUAGCUAGUUGGUGAGGUAACGGCUCACCAAGGCGACGAUCAGUAGCCGGCCUGAGAGGGUGAACGGCCACACUGGAACUGAGACACGGUCCAGACUCCUACGGGAGGCAGCAGUGGGGAAUAUUGCACAAUGGGGGAAACCCUGAUGCAGCGACGCCGCGUGAGCGAAGAAGGCCUUCGGGUCGUAAAGCUCUGUCCUAAGGAAGAAACGGACGGUACCUUAGGAGGAAGCCCCGGCUAACUACGUG
RNAcentral lists this ribosomal RNA (477 nucleotides) under uncultured bacterium. Its description in RNAcentral is "bacterial SSU rRNA". It matches the Rfam family "Bacterial small subunit ribosomal RNA", at positions 28 to 507 of the family's 1533-position model. The record is from RNAcentral.